This 17779-nucleotide long non-coding RNA is filed under the name Lathyrus oleraceus (garden pea). Its description in RNAcentral is "Pisum sativum (pea) long non-coding RNA (PSAT_LNC041886)". Lineage: Eukaryota; Viridiplantae; Streptophyta; Magnoliopsida; Fabales; Fabaceae. The record is from RNAcentral.
UUCCAAAAUCUCCAUUUUUUCUUUACUUCUGAGUUCUGAUGCUCACCGUAAAGCACUGUUAAAAGUCCUGAAUGAUGCUCAUGUGAUGCACGAUAUCACGGUCGAUCAAUUUGAUGACGUGUGUAAGACCCCAAUUUUGACCCUAAGAUCCCUCAUGAUAUACCAUCAUAUGCAUUGGCAUUGGGAUCACACCUUGACAUCCUCCUUCCCCCUCAUUCAUUGGGUUUGCAUUGAGAGAGAUCACCAAGCACCAUUUAAUUGUAUCAUACUUUGUAUUUUCUCAUUUUUACUAACCAAAAUACCAAAAAUAUGUCUUUGCAUAAUCUAACUCUUUUGUAGGUAGAGUACAUGCUCACCUUUGGUCUAUCAAGCUCACAUCUAGGGUUUAAGACCCUCAGUGCAAGGAGUUCAAUCAAGAAUUGGUAUACUAUGGCUCUAGGCAUCAUAUAUGGAUCCCCAUGAGAAUCACAUGUUAUUUUGAUCAAGAACUCAUCAAGAGUUUGGAAUUGUUUUGUAGUGGAAACACUAGUUCAUAUGGGUAUCUUGUGUAACUUCUUCAACAAUUGAUCAAAGAUUUCAAGGGAUACUUCAAAUUUCUUCAUAUUAUGAAUAUAUGAUUUCCCAUGAGUCCCUAAAGUUAAGAGAAUUGCAAGUUAGCAAGUUGGUUGAUGGUGGUUGACUAGAGGAAUUCAACUAAUCAAAAUUGGGGUUCCCUAGACCCUAUCUCCUACAAUAUUUGUCAUAUGAAAAUGAUUCCAAAAGAAACGUUACUGUAAGUGACAUUACAAACAACUUUCAUGUUGAGGUCUAGAGCUAGUUUUUCUUGGAAAGUCAUCUUUUAUGGUGAAAGAUUAUAGGUCAUUUUGUCUAAACCCUAAUUUGGAGGUCAACUUCCCAAGGUCAUAACUUGCUCAAUUAUUAUGAGAUGAAAGAUUUCCAAGUUUCACAAUCAAAUUCAAUAUGUCUACUUCAACUUUGAUGUUUGGAGGAAGAGCAAAUUCAACUUUUAUGAGCAUGUGAUAUGAGGAUACAUUAUAGGUCAUUUUGGACCAAUACCAUUGAACAAGUGAUUUUCCUCAACUUCAAAAAUGCAUACCUCCUUCAUAUCAAAUCCAAAUGAGGUAAAACUUAUAACCAUUUUGAAGUACUUUGAAAUAGAUACAACUUUGAUGAAGGAACUUCUCUCAUUUGAAACUCACACAAAAAGUUAGCCAAGGUGGAAUAAGUGAACAUAUGGCGUGACACUUAGAAAAAAAUUUGAUAUGUUAAAAUUUCCAAACUUCCACCUCAAAUUUCAUCAUUAUACAAGCUUCAAAUGGAUAAGUGUUCAACAUUAAAGUUGUUCCUAUUGAUCUAACCUUUCCAAAAAGUCCAAUUUCAUCCAUUUUGGACAAGAUUUGAAUGGGCUGCACAUGGCUUGAACAUUGUAUCAUCAUUUGGCAAAAUCAAACUUCAAACUUCCAUGUACAUUUGUCUUGCAUUCCAAGUUGAUUUUAGACUUGCUCACACUCAAUUAUGGAUCAAAUGGAAUGAUCUCAUGGGCAUGUACACGUCCAUGCACACAUGCAUCACUCAUUGCCAAUUUUGGAAACUCAAUUGUAAGGUGCAAAUAUCAUGUGAUUCAGCUAUAAAUAGAGGCUCAUAUGCUCAGAAUUAAGGACUCCUUCGCGCGAGCUUUGAUCCCAAACAUAAAACCCUUCCAUUUGAUAGGAUAAUCCUGACAAUUUCCUUUGGAAAUUGAGUUUGAAUCUCACUGUUUUGAGAUUCAAAACUCCAGGGAUCCAAGACCUUUUGUACAUUUUAAUCUACUUCUGCAAGCAUCCUAAGAAAUAUCAAGCACAAGCCAAAGCAAGAACAAGUGAAUCCAGACCUGCAUUGAAGGUAUUUUCCAGAAAAUUUCAUCUCUUCGAUUCUCACUCAAUUCUCCAUAAUUCUCUUGGAUCCUUGGUAGUCUGAAGUCCUAGCAAUAUAGGCAACAAGAUUGAGUUGCUUUGAGGUCAAAUUGAAGCAACUCAGAUCAUGCACCUCAAAUUUCAACUCCUUGUAUCUCUCAAUAUACUUGGAGUUGGGAUAAAUUGAGGCCAGAUUCGUGCUCAGUGCCAUUUUCACUUUAAAAUCAUGUCCUCUAUUUUUAUUUUAGUGAAGGUUAUGAUUGGACCAGUCCGGCGAGGCUCGCCUGAGAAGGAGACCGGAGAUUUGCUCUGGUGGUGAGUUAGCAAGGUCCAGAGCCACAUGAUCUGUUUGAUUUGUUCUAAUCACGAGUGUUGGUUUGAAUUACCAAGUUUGUGGCGCGCUGACUAGAGUCCACAAUGGAUUGCGCGUUUGUGGCCACUUGAUUUACCACCUCAAUUAAUGAAAUUUUUCUACAAGGUCCUUUAACCUUGUUUGACCUAUGAUAAAUCUCAUCGUCAUUUCUUUGGUGUCAAUUUAAUGCAUAUUUUAGUUGAUUUUAAUUGAAUAAAUGUCAAAUAAAUUGUGUUGAGCUUCUAUUAUUGACUUAUUGAGUUUGACUUGUGUUGUUGGGCCUUGGUCAAGGUUGAUUUUACUUUUCUAAGUUAAGAUCAUUGGAUUUAGGGGAAUGAUGAAAUGUACAUUUCAUCUCCCAAAAUGAAUGAAUGAUCUUAAUUUGGUAAAAGUCCUUGUUUUACCAAUUUGUGUUGAUUUCAUUCCCCCUCCCUCUUGAUCUCAUUACUCUUCUUUAUUCAUUCAUGUCAUGGACCUAUGAUAUCUCUAUAUCCUAAGGCUAGUUGAUUGCAAAAUCAACAUGAGUAUGGAUGAGAUUAGAUCCACCACACUUUUGCAUAUUCUUUUUGCGUGUGGUAUCUUUCGUGAGCAUAGUCCAUUAUAUUAUGUCUCUAACAUGCAUUAACACCAAACUUCUAUUGCCUGGUCUCAAAUAGUUGUGAAUUCUGCAUAAGUCCAAUUACGAUUGCUUAACAUAACGCUAAAUUUGUGACACAAAAGGCAUAGCAUUCUAGUAAGUAAGAUUGUAAGUCUCCCCUCUUUCAUGGUAUUGUAUGGAAACUUGGCCUUUUUUUCCUUCCUUUGGAAGAUGUCUUGGUUCAAGGAUCCAUGCAUGUGAAUAGUGGGUUGAGUGUUCUCCAAAGAAUGACUUAAACAAUACAAAGCAAAAGCAAUACUAACUUCUAAUCAACUAACAACUAACCUUUAAUUUCAAGCCAUUUACUUUUAUGCACUUUAAUUUCAAGCUUUAUUCAUUUGCCAUUAUUCAUACCGUUCAAUUUAUUUACUUUAAUGCCAUUUUCAAUUUUCCACUUGGGCCAUAAUUUGUGAUAUAUUGUGUUUGUAUAUACUUGUUUGUUUGUAUGGUCUUUUGACCUUAAUGUACAUAAUAAAAACAAAAACCCUAAAAGACAUUUGUGCGGACUGUUGGAUUUGAUCUGAGACAAUGGACUUAGAAUUAGGAAACACUCCCUAUGCAAAAGGACUUGUCCAAUGCCAACUUUCAUGAAACCAAGUGCUUGUGAAGUGAAUUUUCAACUGAAGCAAGUAUUGUGAUCCCAUCUGAGUUCAUCUGUUACAUGGUCUUAUUGAAGCUGUUACUUUGAACCUGUGUCUAAUGCCUACUUUUGGAAGUCAUCUGAUGCAUGGGAAAUUUUGAAGAAGAUCAUGGAGUUGCUAAGCUUGGAUGGGGCUAUCUUUAUUUGAUGCCUUGAUCUUCAUCUUUCUAUUUGUGUAUUGAUAUUGCUUGAUUCUAAAGUCCAAGGGAAAUUUGGGUUUCUAUAUGACAUUCUUGUCUAUUGGAUUGCAGCCCAUUGGUUAGAUAUUUUCAACUCUUAACUUUUAAAUUUGUGCUUAGGAUUAGUAUCUUCAUCUCUCCCCCAUUUAUUUAAUUUCAAAUCUCUCUCUACUUUCAAAAAUCUUCUUUGCUAGUGUUUGUUUUCUAAACUUAUACCAUUUUGCAAAUUAGAAACUUUGGCCUUAUGCCAUUGCAUUUUUAAAACUCUUUUCUUUGUCAAAUUUGUAAAUGAACUUAACUAUACUUGACUUAAAAUUUCAAAAGCGAAAAAGAACUAACACUCAUUCCAACCAUUUUUAGGCCUCUUGUGCCUUUGUUAAACUUAAAUUUUGUUAAAAGAAAUCCACUCACUUUGAAAUUGAUACCACAAACUACGAGGUUUUGAUCCCUCAUUUUAUGUUGGUACGUAGGCAUAAGUCUGAAGGUCUUAUCAAACACAAAAAUACAAUUAAUGAAUUAUUUUCUCAUCCCCCCACUCUAUUUAUUGCAAACAUCAUUUGGUACAAAAACACAUAUGCACACAAGAAAGGGCUCCCUAGGAGUACCUAGGACACUUUGGGUGCUAACACCUUCCCUCUGUGUAACCAACCCCCUUACCUGUAAUCUCUGGCAUUUUAUUAGUUUUGAUAGGGUGCUAACACCUUCCCUCUGUGUAACCAACCCCCUUACCUGUAAUCUCUGGCAUUUUAUUAGUUUUGAUUUGAAAAUUUCUUAUUUUUGGGUUUUGUUCGUACUUUUCCCUUUUCCCUUGGAAACGAUAAAAGCGCGAUGGCGACUCUGGUUUUAUUGACGUCUAGCUUAUCUAUAGCUUGAUGGUCAUGAAUUUACCGCCAUAGAAAUUAAGUGGCGACUCUACUGGGGAGUAGUCUCCAGUGGGUUUAGCCUACUUUUUCGUGUGUAUAUAAUUGUAUAUUUUGAUGUAUGUAUAUUUGUUUGUGUGAUAUAAUGUACUUGUUGUGCUUGGUGAUCUCUGAGUGGUGAAAUAAGUUCUAACAUGGACUUGAGUGAAAUUACGAUAAGAGGAUGGUAUAGUCAUGUUCGACUUGUGUGGAGUAGUCCUUAACAAGUUGGAUUGAGACCCAUCUACUCAGUGGAUACCCUUUUGGAGUUAUGAAUGUUACACAAGUUAUUUGUGGUUAGGCAUUACUUCCUCUGAUUUGGGGUCCGAGAAGUUGAGGACCGUAGAACAUUUAACCCAUCUUGGCCUAUUUAAGACGUAGUGCGGAGACUGUUCAAAUGUAGACUUGAUAAUAGUUGUCACGCGAUACUACACUCAGACGAGUUUCUCUUGAGAUAUUAUGGGUUGAUGAGUCAGUCAUCCUAACUUGUAAUAUCCGAUAGAUGGAAUUAAGACUCUGGGAACUUUUUAGAACAUGAUCUACAGGUUCUUAUCCUUAGUACACUCCUUUGGGAUGGUUCUUACCCAGACUCCAUGCUCGUGACUCACAACAAACCCUUUGAUUCUUGGUUGAUCCAAUCAAGUCUUGUCAAUAUCAAUGGAACUUAGGUGUUGAUAAGGCGAAAAACAUAAUCCACUAAAAUGGAUGAUUGAUCUUGACAAUGCCUUGAUUCAUCCCUUGACCUUUGUUUGGUUUCCUUGUGUGUGAUCCCUUAUUUGUGAUUGUUGCAUUCAUGCAUUCAUGCGCAUCAUAACAUUCAUCACACGAAAAAUAAUUUCAAGAAACUGAGGUCUUAUUUGUAACUAUUUUCAGACCAUGGAUUGUGGACGUAGGAACACUAAGAAGUACAGUUUUAGAAGUCCGGAUUUGAAAGAGUUAAGGAAGGUAUCAUCUUUUGUAUUAGGUCUCUUGGACUUCAAGCUACGUCAUGGGAAGCUUCUAUCUAUUUUGUGUGCUGAUGUGGUUGAAGGAAUUUUGAGUGUGUUGGUUCAGUUAUAUGACCCUCUCUACCGUUGCUUCACUUUUCCUGAUUAUCAGCUUGUGUCUACGUUGGAGGAGUAUUCCCGUCUGUUGGGAAUACUUGUUUCUGACAUAGUGCCUUUUAGUGGAUUGGAAGAGAUUCCCAGAUCUCAUCUUAUAGCUGAAGCUCUUCAUCUGAAGAAGUCUGAGAUAGAGGCUCAUUGGGUGAAGAAAGUAGGAUUAUUUGGGUUGACUUCUGAUUUCCUCAUCAAGGAAGCUACUGCCUUUGCUCAAGCCGGUAGUGUGGACGCUUUUGAAACCAUCUUUGUGCUGCUCAUCUAUGGAUUAGCUUUGUUCCCUAACAUUGACGGUUUUGUUUAUGUUAACGUCAUUAGAAUAUUCUUGAUUGGGAAUCAUGUGCCUACUCUUUUGGGUGAUAUGUACUUAUCUUUCCAUCUAAGGAAUUCUAAGGGUGGUGGAACUAUCGUCUUUGCGUUCCUCUUCUGUACAAGUGGUUUAUUUUGCACUUGUCUCAGACGCCUACUUUUGUGGAGAAUAAACAAUGUCUAAGGUGGUCUCAGAGACUUAUGUUUCUCACUAAUGAUGAUAUAGUUUGGUAUGAUUCUUCAUUGGGUAGCUUGGAGAUUAUUGACAGUUGUGGUGAAUUCUCUAAUGUACUUCUCAUUGGUACACAAGGAGGAAUCAACUAUAACUCUACUUUGGCUCGUCGUCAACUUGGAUUCCCCUUCAGAGAUAAACCUAAUAACACUUUGUUAGAAGGUCUUUUCUAUCAAGAGGGUAAAGAUCCCCAUCGUUUGAAGCAGAAUAUUAUGCAUGCUUGGCAUAAUGUGCAUAAGAAAGGAAGAUCCGAGCUUGGUCCGCGCAAUUGUGUAGCUUUGGAAGCUUACACUCUUUGGGUGAAGAAGAGAGCUUUGGAGUUGAAGAUGCCUUAUGCUUGUGAAAGACCUGUGUCUAUGGUUGUGGUUGAGCCAUUAACUCUCCCUAACCAAGAUGUAGUGGAGUUGGAAUACGCGCUCGCCAAGAUGAAGCAAGAGAAGGAUAGGUGGGAAGAUCGUUUCCAUGCUUUGAGUAGAAAGCAUGAGGAGUUGUAGCUUGAGUCUAAGGACAAAGAUGCACUUAUUGAGCUUCUUGAAGAUCGGGUAAUGAAGAGACAGAGAGAACUAGAGGGUCCAUCUUCCUCUAGUAUGUCUCAGCCUUCCAUCGCUUGGAAGAAGAUUGUUGAUCAACUUGUCCUUGAGAAGGCUCAGAUGAAGACUUCUUUUGAAUCCGAGAUUCGACGCAUUCGAAGGAAGUAAGCACCUACAGUUAGAUCUUCUAAUGUUGUUAUUAGGGAUCCUUAGAAUGACUAGUCUCCUUUUCUCUUGUAUUUUGUACUUUUGGAUUCUGAAAUUGUACUCAGUGUAAUCCUUCCAAUUAUAUAAAUAAAAGAGAUUUUUAUGGUCAAUCAAAUUGUUGCAAUCGUUUUUAUCAUAUAUAUUUGAAAAUAAUAUAGUAAGUUCCUUGGAAAAUAAAAACAAUCAAGCAUUGCAUUUCAUGCAUCAUUUGCAUACAGGUUUCUCUUCCGCCAGAUGUCUUAUUGGUAUUUCUUAUGUGCUUCAGCCAAGCUGACUCAUCGAUACAAUACUCGCGCAAAUCACUCAAGGAUCAUGGAACAUCUGGAGCAAGAGAACAGAGAUUUGAAGGACGAGAUCGCCCGCUUGACUGCCAUGAUGGAGUCAGUGUUAGCCGCUCAUAGCCAAUCUUCUCCAACACCUGCAACUCCUCCUCCUCAGAGGACUGUUAUUUCCGAGGUUGCUACCUCUAUCAUUCCUGCUACUGCUGCUCACUUUGCACCGGCCAUGUGUCGCAUCUCGAAAAAUACGAUUCCUCGCGAUGGUCGCGGAAAAAAUUAAUGUUCGAAUAGAGUUGCCAUCGAACUUAAUUUAUCCCAAUGAAGGGAUAGUAAAAUAUCGAUAAAACCUUUAGGAAAUGGAAUAAUGGUCGUCGCAACCAUAUUCGAGUUCGGGAGUGGAUUACGUAAGGGGAAGGUAUUAGCACCCCUUACGUCCGUUGUACUCAACGGGAACCUUUAAACCUUUAGGAAAUGGAAUAAUGGUCGUCGCAACCAUAUUCGAGUUCGGGAGUGGAUUACGUAAGGGGAAGGUAUUAGCACCCCUUACGUCCGUUGUACUCAACGGGAACCUUUUAGUUCUAAUGUGCGUUUCAUGUGUUAAUUUAUGUUUGUUUGUUAUUUUUGGGUUAUACAAUUGUAAAAAAUAGAAAUGGACGAGAACCUCAGAAAGGGAAAGGGGAGGUUUUUUAUUAGUGUGCUCGCGAAGGUACAACAAUCUCCUACCUACGUAUCCUUAUGGUAUAAUAAGGAAAUCAGAGCAUUCGUAGUUCGGGGAACUACGAUUGGUUGGUGUUUUUUAAUGAACAACUGUUUAGACUGCGUUUCUAAAGGCUAAACGUUGGCUUGUCUAGUCUCGGCGGAGGCUUAAGCACUAGUUUGCUGUGCGCAUUAGAAAGGAUUAACAAUGUUCUUUCUGAAAAUAGUUUUGGUCACAUGGGGGUGACAAGUUGGACUAAUAUGUUGGAUGUUUUGAUUGGUUGAGAUGUUUUUGGUUGAAUGACGAUUACUCUGAUAGUUGAGUAAGACAACUCGUAUCCUAACAGUCGGGAAAGGGAAUAGAAGACUCUAGACCACUUUCUUUUUCAUCCUUAAUUAUAGAAAGGAUUUGAUAAUAAUUAGGGUGUUUUGAGUGGAUGACGAAUACUCGGAUAAUCGAGUAAGACAACUCGUAUCCUAAUAAUCGGGAAAGGGAAUAGAAGACUCUAGACCGCUUUCUGUUUCAUUCUUAAUUAUAAAAAGGAUUUGAUAAUUGUAAGACCCCAAUUUUGACCCUAAGAUCCCUCAUGGCAUCAUUACAUUGCAUUUACAUUGCCUCAAGGAUCAUGAGCGUCUUGGUUCCCUUUGCCUUUGGGUGGGAUCUCUUGAGAUGUGGUUUGAGAUCACCAAGCAUGCUUGAAUUGUAUAUUAUUGCUUUCCUCAUUUCUUUUAUUAACUCAAAAGCACAAAAAUAUGUCACUAACAUCUUUUAUUUGUAGCUUGAGCAGUCACAAGGUCUAAAGCUUCUAGGAGAUCCUUUGUGCAAUGAUAUGGUCAAGAGAAGAUGAAAGCAAGCAUGGUAAUGGUUCCGAAAGCUCUCAUCCAUCAAAUAUGCCUCCCAAGUAUCUCAAUUCAUCAUUUUGAUCAAAGCAAGUCAAAGGGUUUGAGGUUUGUUUCCCAAGGAAACCUUAAUUCAUAUAUUCAUCAACUGUGCCUUGCUCUUGAAGAAACCUCAACCCAUGGUCAAAAAAAAAUCAAGGGAAGUUCUUUAAUUCAUCAUUUCAUGCAUUUUUGAACUUAUUUGAGUGUCCUCAAUCAUAAGUUCAUCAAGAUAUAAGUUUUGGACUUGAGAAGUUGAUCAGUCAAUUCAUCUGACCAUUUUGAAAUGCAUUGAGACCUAACUUUUUAUGUGUUAGUCCAAUGGAGAUGACCCCAAGAGAAAUAUUGUUAUUAAGGACAAUAUGAACAACUUUCAUGUUCAUCAAAAUUUAAUUUGAAGCUUGGAAGGUCAUCAUCCAUUCCAAGACAUUAUAGGUCAUUUUGACUGAAACCCUAAUUUUGGGUCAACUUCCCAAGGACCUAAGUCCUUCAUUUUUCAUGAUUUGGAGGUGGGAUCAAAUGAAUUGGAAAGCUUAAUGUUUGUAAUUCAAAUGUUAUGUUGAGAAAAAUUACAAAAUCCCAAAAGAAAUACAUGUGAUAAUGCAAAACAUUAUAGGUCACUUUGGGCCAACUGCAUUGAAAUGUGAAAAAGUCCAACUUCAAGUGCCCAUAACUUCAUCAAAAAUCCAAAUGAUGCAAAAUUUAAGUCCAAAUUUAUUUUCUUGAAAAUAUCUACAACUUUCAUGUUGAAGAUUGUAUUAUUUGGAGCUUGCAUCAUUGAGACAGAGGGGCUUGAACAUUGGCCAAUUUUGGAAAUUUCACAUAUGCAUGUUUUGCACCUUACACUUCAAGCUUAAUUUUCAUUAAUUUCCAAGGCCCAAUUGGAUUUUUGAUCAACAUAGCAUUUGUUCCUUAUGCAAUAAGCUUUCCAACCAUUACCCAUAAGCCUAUGUUUCAAUUUUGGAAGUAUUAUUUUCGAAGAGGAGAACUUUUUAGUGCAUUUUUGGAAACUUGAUUCAAUUGCCAUGCAUGAGCUCACACAACCUAAUUUGCACGUCCAUUUCAUUCAUUUAUGAUAUAAGCCUGCAAUUCCAAUCAGAAUUGGGCCCUCCAUGCGCCUGUACAGGCCCAUGCAUGAAGGCCCUCUUCUCCGAUGCACACUUUGUUCAUGCAUAUCAGUUGGCUUUGGCUAUAAAUACAUGGCAUGUGAGCUCUUAUUUCUUAACCUGAAGGCACCUGAACCUCUGCUGAACUCAAAACCUACCCUCACCAAAGGAACUUUUCUCUUUCUUUCAAAAAUAUCAGAUCUGAAAUUCAAUUGCAUCGAUUGAUUUUUAAGAUCCAUAGUUCCUAGACCUCUUCAGCUUGAUCCAUAGAAGCUUCUGUUUGCAAAAGAACUCAAAGAUAGUGACUCAAUUCAGCUCAAUUCCAAGGUUUUGCUCAACUGCAUUUUGCUUCAAAACAGCUCAUAUAUUGUUCCAUUUGCCUUGAUUUUGUGUGAUUUGAAGUCCUCUGCAUAGAGGCAUCAUUAUUGUGUUCUUAAUUUUUGAAAUCAAGCAAGUUCAGUUGAACACCACCAAAGUUCCAUCUCUGAUUUCUCUCUCAAUAGGGAUCUAGAGUGGAAUUGAGUAAUAGAGGCAUCAUUAUUGUGUUCUUAAUUUUUGAAAUCAAGCAAGUUCAGUUGAACACCACCAAAGUUCCAUCUCUGAUUUCUCUCUCAAUAGGGAUCUAGAGUGGAAUUGAGUGGCAUAGGAGUGACGUACAUCACUCCACCUUUCAUUUGGUACCUGGAUCGUGCGUUUUGGUGCACAUUUGUUCUUCUACAAAUUUGAGCUCUCACCGGAGCUAUCCGGAGAAGACGGUGGCGCUGACCCCUGUCUGGUCUCCAGAUCCAAUCGUGGUCGUCCAUUUUCAUUUCCAGAUUAGAUUUAGGUUGUCCGAUGUUAUGACCAUUUUUAAUUGUUUGUGUGGUUGCAUUGACUCACGUGUAUUAUGGAAGCGUGCUCAGAUCCGUCUGAUCUGCCAGGUCAAUUAAUGAACUGGAUCCAACGCCUCUCCUUUUUUCUUAUUUUUAAUUUCUGAUUUCUAUUUUCUUUUAUUUCUUUUAAUUCCAUUUUAUUUCUAAAAUCCAUAUCUCUUUCAUUAUUGGUCCAAAAAUUAUGGGACCAAUUGCAUUAUUUCUCUUUUAAUUUCUAGUUUCUAAAAAUGAUUUUUAAUAUUUUUUAUUUUGUCAUUUGCUAUUUUUUAAUAAUUUUCUCUUUUCUGGUUAUUUUUAAUUCAUUUUAAAUAGUUUUUCAGAUCCAAAAAAUACCAAAAUAUUUUCUCAACCUCUUUGAACGAUGAUAGAUCUAUGAAAAAUAUUUUCAUCAAUUUAUUAAUUGAUUUGAGAUUUAUUUGAGAUUUUAGUUCAAUUAGGUUAUUUUUAUGCAUUUUUAAUUGAUCAAAAAUAGUUUCUGACUUUUAUAAAUGUUGAAAUUUUUUGUCAAACUUUUUUUGACCUUGUUGAACUUAGGAUAAUUCACUUGGACUUUUCAAAGUUGAUUUGAAGUGAGUUUGAAGUUUGACCUUUCUUUAAUAUUUUAAUUCAAGUUUUAUUUUAAAUAUUAAAAAAUGCCAAAAAUAUUUUGUUUAUUUCUUGACUUCUAAUCUUCAUUUUGCUUCUGUUUUCUAUUGUUUGACCUUGAUCUUCUCUAUCUUUGGUCAUAGCUUGUUGAUUAUCUCAUUCCAUUUCAUUUAAUGCACUUUAAUUCUUCAUGUCUAUUCUUNAGAUUGUUGGCGAACACUUGCCUACGUACCUCUUAAACAAGAUUAGGAUCAAAACCGUCUGUAGUUGGCGUAAAAAUUCAAAAUUGAGUUGGUGAAUUGAUUUGGUCCGAAAGCACUUAAAGGUACUUUUUGUGUUGAUCCAAGGGAGAAAAACUCAAACCUAAAACACAACCCACCAUGUGCAGGAUUAGCUUAACAUGUUAUGAGGGGGUUUAACCCUAUACGAUAAGCAUGGAAGACACAUUGUCCAUCACUAAGGAUAUAGGUGAGUAUUACGAGUCCUAACCUCAAAGCAUAACUCAAGAGCCUGAAUACGCUAAAGGUUUAAAAGAUUUAAUUAAGAAAGUGGCCAUUGAAACCACAAAAGUAUUUGAAUGAUGGUAUUUACGCAAAUGAAUAAGAUAUUUGACAAAAUAUGGUCAAAGGUGAUUUAGAAGUUCAAUUCAAAAAUAAGUGUUAUGAAAAAAGUUUGGGAAAAUCAAAAAAAGCCAUAAGGCUUAGGUUUCCUAAAUGUUGAAAACAAGGUUAAAUGUUGCAAACAAAAGUUUUGGUUUGGGUUUAGAAGGGAGAAGAAGAAUGAAUGGCAAAGUCCUAAUCAUACAUGAAGAGACAAGGGAUAAGAAAACAAGACCAACAAAUGGAGUUCCCUCUCUUUGACGAUCGAUAUUGAUGAAAUCAAGUAGCUCCCAUCUUGGAAUAUGCAAGCAAAAAUUUAAUAGUCGCUCAAGCAAUCAACACAUCAAACAAGCUCCUUAGGCGAAUCCUCAAUGUAUCUGGUUGUAUCUUUCACUUGGAUGAACAUUGGCAAUGGUUCCUUUUAACUCUUGAGCUCUCAUAGGAUCCCCUAGCACAAAAAGCACACACAUCAAAAAGUUCUAUGAAAGUAAAUCAAGAAUGGAACAAGAGUGUUGAGUUUGGGUCCUUCUAGUCCAUCUCAACAUUAAAGGUCCUUGUUACUCCAAUUUGCCAUAGGAAAGUUCUAGAAACUAAGUCGCAUUUGUCCAUAUUCUUUGCAUUUGGUCCACAAACAAUCAAAACAAAAACACAAGCACAAUUAAUUAUACUACACAAUUACGUGUGCUCAAAGUGAGCAAGAAGCAAUUGCAUUAAACAUACAUGUGCUAAAUGAGCAGAAGGGAAAAGAAAUGAUAUAUGUAAGAUAUAGUUAAAUUGAUAAAGUAAGUGCAAGAGUAAAUGUUAAUGGUUAAUUGUUAGUGUUAGUAGUUCAGGUGUCAUAGGCAUUUAAGCGCUAUGUUAAGCAAAUCGUAAUGGAGUUAUUGUGAAGUCACACUAUCUGAGGCGGUUAAUAGUAUAUUUAUGGCAACACAACAAGGUUAGAGGUCUUGAUUGUGAAUCAACACUCUACAACUUGCCAUGGCGCAGAAAGAAGAUGAGAAUGAUCUUGUUUGGUUUAGGUCCUUUUGCAUGUUUUAGAAAGCAAUCUUCCGUUAAUGGAAAGCCAUUCACUUUGAUCAUGUGAUCAAGUGAUUAGAUUUGAAUUCAAGGAAGAUUAAAACCUCCCUAUCAAUGCUAACCAUCGAACCUUUAACUCAUUGAUAAAAAAAGAAAAGAAGAAGAGAAGAAGAUGAAGAAAGUGAAAGAUAGCAUGAAGAAUUAAAGUGCAGCUUAAAUGAUCUCUUGUAUGAUUAGGACUUUAGCCAUUCUUCUUCUUCCCUCCACUCUAACCCAAACCAAAACUUUUGUGCAAACAUUUAACACUUGUUUUCAAACAUUAGAAACCUAAGCCUUAUGCUUUUGAUUUCCAAACUUUCUUUUCAUAACACUUAUUUUGAAUUGAACUUCUAAAUCAACUUUGACCAUAUUUUGUAAAUACUUUUCAUUGGUAAAUACCAUUCAUUCAAAUACUUUUGUGGUUUCAAUGGCCACUUUCUUAAUUAAAUCUUUUAUAACCUUUAGCUAUUAGGUUUGAGUUAUGCUUGAGGUAGAUGUAAUACUCACCUAUAUCCUUAGUGAUGGACAAUGAGUCUUCCAUGCUUAUUAUAGGGUUAACCCCUCACUAACAUGUUGAAGCUAUCCUCACAUGGUGGGUUUGUGGUUUUAGGUUGAGUUUUCUCCCUUGGAUAACAAAAGACCUUAAGGCUUUUGGACCAAUCAAUUCACCAACUCAUUUUUUGAAAUUUUUACCCCAAACUACGAGGUUUUGAUCCUAAUCUUUUUUAAGAUGGUACGUAGGCAAUGGGUUUAUCCAUCCAAACACAAAAAUGUAAAUAACUUGCAUAUUCUCUUCUCAUCUCUUCAAUCAUGUUUGCACAAACAAAUUUUCACAAAAUACCAACCUUACAACAAGUGUGAAAAGGGCUCCCUAGGAGUACCUAGGAUGUUUUGGGUGCUUAAAACCUUCCCAUUGCAUAACCAACCCCCUUACCCCGAUCUCUGACAUUUUUACUAGUUUUUAAUUCGAUAAAAUUUUUAGGUUUUUAUUCGCUUUCUAACCAUUCCUUUGAAUAAAUAGAAGUGCGGUGGCGACUCGACUUGUAUGGUUUACCUUAGAUUUAGUCAAUAUCUCUAAUGGUAACGAAUACCCCACUACAAUAAUAAUUAAGGUGUUUUGAAUGGAUGACGAUUACUCGGAUAAUCGAGUAAGACAACUCGUAUCCUAAUGGUCGGAAAAGGGAAUAGAAAACUCUAGACCACUUUCUCUUUCAUCUGAGUGGUUAUGAAAAUAAGUUUACGUAUGGUUGAUGUAUUUUUAGAAUAGACGACAAGUACUUGAAUGGUUGAGUAAGACAACUCAUAUCCAAGCAUUUGAGGAGAGGAAUCUAAGGCUCAAGACCAUCUCCCUUUUCGUAUAGUUUGUUAUGAAAAUGAUUUGAUUAAGUUGUAUGUUUGUGGAAAAAUGACAAUUGCUCGACUGGCCGAGUAAGAGAACUCGUAUUCAAGCAAUUGAGGAGAAAAGUUGAAAACUCAAAGUCAUCUCCCUUUUCAUUUCUUAUUAUGAAAAUAAUUUGAUUUAGUCGGGUUUGGAAGUUUGUAGAGGAACGACAAUUAUUUGACUAACCAAGUAAGAGAACUCGUAUUCAAAUAAUCGAGGAGAAAAAUUGAAGACUCAAAGUCAUCUCCCUUUUCCUUUCUUAUUAUAAAAGAGUUUGAUUUAUUUGUUCUUAAGUGGGUGGAAGUGACGACUAUUUGACUAACCGAAUAAGAGAACUCGUAUUCAAAUAAUCGAGGAGAGGAAUUGAAAACUCAAAGCCACCCCCCUUUUCAUUUCCAAAUGAAAUGUUGUUUGAUUGUGAUUGGAUACGUUCUUUUAAUUUUUAAUGAAAAUACUCGACAUUGGAUUGAGGUUUUGAUUUUGUGUUUAUGAAUGAAAUGAAUUUUAUUUUAGUGUAUUAUUCUUCUACUCGAUUAAUUAAUAACUGGAUAGGUCUCAUUGUAAGAAAGCCCAAGAGUAAGCUAUGUGAGGUUGAUGGCGAUACUUUUACAAGUAAUCGACUUACAAAGGCGUUUUGAAAAUGGGCUCGACUUUGAAUCGAGAAGUAUGUGUUUUAUUUUUUUGAAAUUGGCUCGAAUGAUUUUAAAUUGGUGAUAACGACAUAAUCUCGUCAUAAUUAUAACAUGUCAUCCAUAUGCACUCGAGACUCGGUAUAAAUAAAUAAAUACAAAAUAAUCAUGCACAUACACUCCACAAAAAUCAACAAUUAUCUAAAUUAUAAGUGAUAUUAAUAAUAAUAUAAUUAAUUAAUUAAAUAUUUAGUAGAUUAUUUUGAUUAAAUAAUAAGUAAUUAAAAAAAUGAUGAUAUAACCAAAUAAUUGCAUAUUUAUCAUUAAAUAUUAAUAAUAGUAAUAACAAUAUAAUUGUGUAUUUACUAUUAAGUACUAAUAAUAAUAAUGAUAAUAAUAAUAAUAAUAUAUAAUUAUAACUUUGAAAGAAAGUAAAUAAAAUAAAAUAAAUGAAAUUAAAGUAAAAAAAUAUUUAAAUUUUGUAAAAUAAUUAAACAACUAUCAUUAGGAAUUAAACUAUUAUAUAUAUAUAUAUAUAUAUAUAUAUAUAUAUAUAUAUAUAUAUAUAUUAUAAGUAUAUAUGUAAAAAAUAUAAAUAAAAAAGAAAGAAUAAGUCAAAAAAUAAAGAAAAUGGGCUAGUGGUGGUGAAAAAUUAAUAAAAUAAUUUAAUCAAAUUAAAUCAAAGAUACCGAUGAAUUAAUUUAAAUAAAAUAGGGUCUACUUAGGAUAUUUAAGUAAUUUAGAUUAACAAAAAUAAUUCAGGAUAAUGAGUCAUUAAAUUAAAAAAAUUAGUAAAUUGAAUUGUUAGUUAACUAAUUGAAGCUAAUUGUUAGCUAACAUGAUUAUCUUUUAAAUCCUCCACACAGUAAAACAGAAGAAAAAGAAAUGGGCUAAAACCGAAUUUAAUGAAAAAUAGGAAUAAACAAAUGUGCUUUUUUUGACUGAACAUAUGCUAUAUUCUAAUAUGCAAUGUCACCUAGUAUUCAAAGUUAAUUUAUUGUUUUUUAUUAAUGAUGCAUUGAAUAAAAUAACAAAUAGGGGUGGCUGUCAGCAUAGCCCACACGGUAUCCCCAAGAAAAAUCAAUUACUCACCAUAAGAACCUUCCAUAUACUAACAUAUGACACCUAAUGAUGUUUAAAGAGAAAUAAACAAUAAUAAAUGAAAAUUAAAGUAAUGCUUGGAUAUUUUAAAAAACGUAAGGACGAAAAACGUUCCUUCACAAAACCAAUGCACCUCUUUCUUAAUCUAACACCCUUUCCUCCUAUCCAUUUCUUCUCUCCAAAAGGGUUUAUGAAAAAAAAGUUCAGUUCACCAUCAAGUUUAUCGCACAACAAAAAUAUUCAAACACAAAGAUCUACCUCAAACGAUACAAAACCCCAAAUCUCAAAAUUAGCAACGAAAUUUUGCAAACAAAAGUUUAUCGCACAACAAAAAUAUUCAAACACAAAGAUCUACCUCAAACGAUACAAAACCCCAAAUCUCAAAAUUAGCAACGAAAUUUUGCAAACAACCUCCAAAAGACCCAAAUCGUGACUUUACAAAAAAAAAACUAAAAAUUGAAACAAAUCGAACCAUCAUCAUCAAUAAAUUCAAGCAAUCUAAAGGAGGCUCCUACUCAGUUAAUCACGACAAACAUGCAGGCACAAUCAAUUUGGAUCCAAACAUGAAGAAAUUUACCUGACCGAAGCUAGUUCAACGAAGUUCUCUCCGGCAACCCUCAGAUAACUCUAUUUCCUCUUCUUUUCGGUUUUACGAUGGCCUCCUCCUUCUGUUUUGAUGUUGUGUUAUCCUUUAAUGUUAGGGUUUUUUGUGUUUUUUACAAAAUAUUUUUUGAUUUGUUCUGCUCGGAUCCUCAAAAACGUGUGUUCUGUUUCUUUUGAGUUAACAAAGAAAAGAUUACUUUGACAAUUUCUUCUGGAUUUUAUUAAAACGUGUUACUGUUAAUUAGUUUUGUGGUUUAUAUACAUGAAUGUUGGUUUAUGUGAUAUAACUUGUUGGAUCCUAUUUCCAGAUUUUGUGGUAUGAUUAAUCUAUGGAUUUAAAGUUGUUUAUUUGGAUAAUGCAGUGUGUUUCUGAGCGCUUCCUUUGAUUCAUUGUGUAACAUAUUAAUUUGCUCUUUCUAUUAAUUAUUUUCCAGGUUUUUAAGUGCUUAUUUGAUAAGAUGUUUUUAAUUUUGAAUUGGUUUUGCAGGUUAAGUGAUAUUGAUGCUGAUUGAUUGAAAAAGGGGCGCUGUUAUUCAACAGGUUUUGGAAAAGUUCUGAAGAGUUGCUUUUGAAUUGGGAACUUCCAAAAGAGCUUUUGGAAAAGUCUGUGAAAUUUGCUUCAAACUGCUGUGUUUACAGCUUAUUCCAAUUUUUUUAAUAAAAUUAUUUCUGAUGUAACAGAGACUUUUUGGAUUAUGAACUUAGGGACUGCUUGUAACAUGUACAAAUUUAAUUUGGAAUUUCUCUUUUUGGACAAUUAUGUAAUUGUUUUGGAUUAUUAGGAAUUUGGGAUUAGUUAGGAUAUAUUAAACUGUAAGAAAAAUUGGGUUAGACGUGUAACCCUUUGGAUCAUUUGCAAAAUUUACAUAAUUUUAAUUUAAGUUUUUUUGUUAUUUAUGUGGAUACUUUUGGGUUAUUAUGUAACAUUUGGAUUAAAUAGGAAUAUGAUUUGGGAAUAUUAUUUGUGUAAUUAGUCUCUCUUUCUUUUUUUUUUAAAGAAAAAUUAAACUUUGUCUUAAC